RNAcentral lists this ribosomal RNA (497 nucleotides) under uncultured bacterium. Its description in RNAcentral is "partial 16S ribosomal RNA". It matches the Rfam family "Bacterial small subunit ribosomal RNA", at positions 28 to 507 of the family's 1533-position model. The record is from RNAcentral.
GAUGAACGCUGGCGGCGUGCCUAAUACAUGCAAGUCGAGCGAACAGAUGAGGAGCUUGCUCCUCUGACGUUAGCGGCGGACGGGUGAGUAACACGUGGAUAACCUACCUAUAAGACUGGGAUAACUUCGGGAAACCGGAGCUAAUACCGGAUAAUAUAUUGAACCGCAUGGUUCAAUAGUGAAAGACGGUUUUGCUGUCACUGAUAGAUGUAUCCGCGCGGCAUUAGCUAGUUGUUAAGGUAACGGCUUACCAAGGCAACGCUGCGUAGCCGACCUGAGAGGGUGAUCGGCGACACUGGAAGUGAGACACGGUCCAGGCUCCUACGGGAGGCAGCAGUAGGGAAUGUUCGGAAAUGGGGGAAAGCCUGACGGAGCAGCGCCGCGUGAGUGAUGAAGGUCUUCGGAUCGUAAGACUCUGUUAUUAGGGAAAAACAAAUGUGUAAGUAACUAUGCACGUCUUGACGGUACCUAAUCAGAAAGCAACGGCUAACUACGUG